AUUGAACGCUGGCGGCAGGCUUAACACAUGCAAGUCGAGCGGAGAUGAGGUGCUUGCACCUUAUCUUAGCGGCGGACGGGUGAGUAAUGCUUAGGAAUCUGCCUAUUAGUGGGGGACAACAUUCCGAAAGGAAUGCUAAUACCGCAUACGUCCUACGGGAGAAAGCAGGGGAUCUUCGGACCUUGCGCUAAUAGAUGAGCCUAAGUCGGAUUAGCUAGUUGGUGGGGUAAAGGCCUACCAAGGCGACGAUCUGUAGCGGGUCUGAGAGGAUGGGCCGCCACACUGGGACUGAGCAAAGGCCCAGACUCCUACGGGAGGCAGCAGUGGGGAAUAUUGGACAAUGGGGGAAACCCUGAUCCAGCCAUGCCGCGUGUGUGAAGAAGGCCUUAUGGUUGUAAGGCACUUUAAGCGAGGAGGAGGCUACUGAGACUAAUACUCUUGGAUAGUGGACGUUACUCGCAGAAUAAGCACCGGCUAACUCUGUGCCAGCCGCCGCGGUAA
RNAcentral lists this ribosomal RNA (501 nucleotides) under uncultured bacterium. Its description in RNAcentral is "partial 16S ribosomal RNA". It matches the Rfam family "Bacterial small subunit ribosomal RNA", at positions 30 to 523 of the family's 1533-position model. The record is from RNAcentral.